AUGACGACCACCGACACUGGGCCCACUAGUCAGCCAGUGCAACCGUCCUUUUUUAACCCAUGCUUGCGGGGGGCCGUCCUCAUCCACUUCCGUCCACAUCUGGACCCCCACCAACCCCUUCUUGCUUCCUCGCGGGCGACAACCCAAAACCCUAGCCAUGGGCCUCUUCGGCAGCAGCUCCGGCAAAGGCAAGGGCACUCCCGGUGCCUCAUCCUCCCGUGCUCUUCCUCCCCCUCCUCCUCCACCGCCGGUGCGUGCCCGCCCAGGUCGGCCGCUUCUGCACUCCCGGUGCACCAAGUGCGGUGGCACUGGGAGUACAGGCAGCCGCUGCCUUACCCCGACGUGACGUUGCCGCACCACUGGCACCUCGAUCCGCAGCGGAUCCCGGUGCCGGCGGUUCCACGGUCACAGCGGGCGCACGACGAGGUGCGCAGGCGCCGGGCGCAGCUCACGCCGGCGCAGCAGCGGAUGCCCGAGUACGCCGCAGACUCUCCCAGCUGGGAGGCUUGGUUUGCCCUCGAGCAUAAGGAGCAACGGCGGCUCAGCGUCCUCAUCAACCACGACCUUCCGCCGCCGCCCCUAUGGGUAGAGCCGGAGGAAGAGGAGACGGAGGCGGAGUACCAACCCGCCCUCGAGGAGGCACUGCAGCACGCGCUGGAGGCGAGCCGGCUCGAGGAGGACGCCCAUUGGGAUGGGCUGGAGCAAGCCAUGGCUUGUCCGCGGCAAGGGACUCCGUGUAGGCGCCCCUGUUCGUGCCGCCCCCGCCCCCGCCCCUCGUCGAGCCCAAGCCCGAGACGGAGCGCGAGCCAACUUCCACGCGCAAGCGCCACGCCGGAAGAAGAGACGGCCCACCUUGAGAGCUGGAAGGCGCACUGGCUCGUAGACGAGGGGGCCAACAGUGAGCUGCAGAUGCAAUAUGAGCAGAUGAUGCGCCGUGACGAGGAGGCUCUGCGGCUUGAGGAGGAAGAGGAGGAGCGCGCCCGCCUCGCCGUUAUGCCGCCGCCGCAGCAAACGCCGAGGGAGGCUGCACUGGCGGCCUAUCAAGUCGCGUUCGGUUGGGCUGGGUCUCCCCCCGUCUUCAUUGACCUCACCGGUUGCGAGGACGACGACGACAAGGGCAAGGGCAAGGGCAAGGCGACUCUCAUUAUUUUGAGCAAACAGGCUCACAAAAAGAAGUUAGUUGCCCCCUAUGCGCCAGCCAGGAGCUCCGAAGGUGGAUCCUAUUUGAUGCUCGCGAGCGUCCAGACGUCGGGGCUUUCGCUGAAGGCGCUCCGAGUUGGGCUGGCCCAGAAAUUGUUCAACAUGCGCCGCAGCUUCACUCCUCCUCCUCCUCCCAGGCGCCGCCGCGUCACUCCUCCUCCUUCUCAGGCGCUGCAGCUUCACUCCUCCUCCUCCCCAGGCGCCGCAGCGUCACUCCUCCUCCUCCUCAGGCGCCGCAGCUUCACUCCUCCUCCCCAGGCGCCGCCGCGUCACCGCUUCUUCGUUCGCCGCGCUAUCUCCUCCCAGUCGCCCAUGGAUAUCACGCGUGGCGCCGCCGCAGCUUUCUCGCGGGGUGCCCUUUUUGCUGUUCGCUCCCAUGCGAGGAUCGGUUUCUAUGGGGGUUUGUUCAUGGUUGUGUCGUCGGUUGCCGGGAAAGUCGUCGUACACAGUUUUCCGCACCUUGGAGAUAGGCUAAUGCGGUGCUCCAAGUACUGUUCGCUCGUCUUUUCUUCCAUAACCACGACAUCGGUGGUAGCCAGUUCCAUCAUCCGGUACACCAUGCCUGACCCUGAUAUCAUCUUCGUAAACCCUCUUCCUCUGCCGCCUGCCAGGUUUAAUGCCUUGGCUGAUCCAGAUCCGGGGUUCAAGCAUGCUUUUGGAGAGCGUCUACUCUUUAUUGAGACACUUGACCUUAACAACAUACCUUGGUUGAUCCAUCCUUGGAUUGAUGCUGAUGCUCGUGGAGAUAUCAUCAAUAUUGAUGUGGACCAAGCUACUUCCCCCUUUGAGGCAUUUGAAAUAUGGCAGUUCAUAUGCCAAUUGCCAGAGGCUUGGCCAAGCUUCUUGGCACGAAAGCACUGUCCUAUCUUGAUGUCAAAGGUGAAGGAGCAUCUCGAUGGCCAUCUUUGGGCACCUGUGUUACAAGGUGAUUGGGAUUAG
RNAcentral lists this ribosomal RNA (2139 nucleotides) under Triticum aestivum (bread wheat). RNAcentral describes it as "partial small subunit ribosomal RNA". Lineage: Eukaryota; Viridiplantae; Streptophyta; Magnoliopsida; Poales; Poaceae. The record is from RNAcentral.